UACGUAGGCAGCGAGUGUUGUUCGGAAUUACUGGGCGUAAAGAGUGUGUAGGCGGUGCUCCCAGUCUGUUGUGAAAUCUCCCGGCUUAACUGGGAGGGUGCAGCGGAAACUAGAGUGCUAGAGGGUGGGAGAGGUAAGCGGAAUUCCUGGUGUAGCGGUAGAAAUGCUUAGAUAUGACAUAGAACACCAAUUGCGUAGGCAGCUUACUACACGAUCAUUGACGCUGAGGCACGAAAGCGUGGGGAGCAAACAGG
This 254-nucleotide ribosomal RNA is filed under the name uncultured bacterium. Its description in RNAcentral is "partial 16S ribosomal RNA". It matches the Rfam family "Bacterial small subunit ribosomal RNA", at positions 524 to 776 of the family's 1533-position model. The record is from RNAcentral.